This 253-nucleotide ribosomal RNA is filed under the name uncultured bacterium. Its description in RNAcentral is "partial 16S ribosomal RNA". It matches the Rfam family "Bacterial small subunit ribosomal RNA", at positions 524 to 776 of the family's 1533-position model. The record is from RNAcentral.
GACAGAGGGUGCAAACGUUGUUCGGAAUUACUGGGCGUAAAGCGUGUGUAGGCGGCUACGUAAGUCGGAUGUGAAGGCCCCAGGCUCAACCUGGGAAGUGCACUCGAUACUGCGUAGCUUGAGUAUCGGAGAGGUUGGUGGAAUUCUCGGUGUAGAGGUGAAAUUCGUAGAUAUCGAGAGGAACACCGGUGGCGAAGGCGGCCAACUGGACGAAUACUGACGCUGAGACACGAAAGCGUGGGGAGCAAACAGG